This is a non-coding RNA of Chlorocebus sabaeus (green monkey), 1800 nucleotides long. The record is from RefSeq and is a predicted model, not a curated record. NCBI's taxonomy places the organism in Eukaryota, Metazoa, Chordata, Mammalia, Primates, Cercopithecidae.
GAUGCGUACAGCCCAGAGCCUGAAGCAGAUUUCACAGCCUCAGAGGUGGCACAGGCUGACUCAAAACCCGGGGCAGAAAGGGACCAACCCAGAAACAGUGACCCAGAAUCACAGGGAAAUAGAAAUGGGAGUCAGCACAACGAAGCCCCUCCUUGACCCCAUGCUCCUUAUCCACAGGGUCGCAGGAGUUAGUUGCUCAGGCGGUUCAAAGGUCUUGACGGUGAACACCAUCCACAGGGAUUCCCGAGGCGGUGAUGCCAUCAAAGCCUUAAUUCUGAGCUGGGCCUGCUCGGGUGCGGACUCUGCCGCAGGGAGAGAAGGGUUAAUCGCCCCGGGCCUUCGCCGUGGGGGCGGGGCUUCGGGGAGGGUCACAGCCCGGUGCGGAGACCCGAGGUUAACCGCCCGGGGUGGGCUGAAGGGGCGAGGCCAUACAGGGGCGCGGCCUCGGGCUGCACAACCCGGGGCGGCGAUGAGAGGGUUAACGCCCCGGAGGGCCCUGGCGGGGCGGGGCCGCGGGGUGAGCGCGGCCCGAGAGAAGUGCUGGGGGCGGAAGCGGCAGGCGGUCUGCGCCCUGCGCGCCUCGGCUUCUUUCCGCCCGGCUCUUCCAGAGGCCCGGCGACUUCCUGGGCUGGGAAGCCAACCGAGGUUCGGGGGCAGCGGCGAGGGCUCGGGGCGAGCCAAUCUCAAACUGGAGCUCAACUUUUAGAAGAGAGACGCCCCAGCAAGCCUCUUUCGGGGAGUCCUAUAGCUCCUCACCUCCAUGGGCGAGACAGCCCUGGCGGGGGGCAGCAGCAGCACCCCCACCCACGGGCCCUGUACCCUGACAUCUCCUGUCCCGAGGGCUUGGAAGAGCUGCUGUCUGCACACCGUCCUGACCGGGGGCCCAACGACGCCACGGUUGGAACCCCAUAGACUCUUCAGAGAACAUCGAGGUCAAGGAAGGAGGGUUGUACUUUGAGCGGAGGCCCGUGUCCCAGAGCACUGAUUGUGUCCGGGGUAAGAGGGGCUAUUCAAGAGGCCUGCACGCCUGGGAGAUCAGCUGGCCCCUUAAGCAGAGGGGCCCGUAGGCCGUGGUGGGCGUCGCCACGGCCCGCGCCCCGCUGCAGACUAAGCACUACGCGGCGCUGCUGGGCAGCAACAGCGAGUCGUGGGGCUGGGACAUCGGGCGGGGAAAGCUGUACCAUCAGAGCAAGGGGCCCGGAGCGCCCCAGUAUCCAGCGGGAACUCAGGGUGAGCAGCUGGAGGUGCCAGAGAGGCUGCUGGUGGUUCUGGACAUGGAGGAGGGAACUCUGGGCUACGCUAUUGGGAGCACCUACCUGGGGACAGCCUUCCGCGGACUGAAGGGCAGGACCCUCUAUCCGGCAGUAAGCGCUGUCUGGGGCCAGUGCCAGGUCCGCAUCCGCUACCUGGGCGAAAGGAGAGCGGAGCCACACUGUCUUCUGCACCUGAGCCGCCUGUGUGUGCGCCACACCCUGGGGGAUACCCGGCUCGGCCAGGUAUCUGCCCUGCCCUUGCCCCCCGCCAUGAAGUGCUACCUGCUCUACCAGUGAGCCCUGUGAUACCACGGACUGUGCUGAGGCCUUGCCACCACCCCUCCCCUUGGGGAGGUGGGGAGGCACUGCUGGCCUAGACCAGCUAUUGAAAGCUGGUGAGGCUGGGCCCCUACCCCAACCCAAGCUCUGAGGAAAUCAGCCCCAGAGCCACUCAGAGGAAGAGAGGGAGCUGGCAUUCAAGGCUAUGACAGUUUGCUACGCAAAACGUUUUUUUCUAGUAAAAACAGUAAGAGGUACUAUUAUAAAA